Molecule: non-coding RNA, 72 nt
Organism: Cricetulus griseus (Chinese hamster)
Lineage: Eukaryota; Metazoa; Chordata; Mammalia; Rodentia; Cricetidae
Source: Rfam
UUGAGGUGAAGUUCUGUUAUACACUCAGGCUGUGGCUCUGAAAGUCAGUGCAUCACAGAACUUUGUCUCGAA